Molecule: long non-coding RNA, 531 nt
Organism: Diabrotica virgifera virgifera (western corn rootworm)
Lineage: Eukaryota; Metazoa; Arthropoda; Insecta; Coleoptera; Chrysomelidae
Exons: 2
Source: RefSeq, a predicted model, not a curated record
GAUAGGGGUUAGGUUAUCUCAUAACUAUGUGGGCGGAAGCGAGAGGGAGGGGAAUGCCUACGUCACUCGUACGACAAAGUCAAGUUUGACAGUUGUUUGUGGUUAUAUUUCCGUAUAUUUUUGUGGAAUUUUCUUAUAAUAUCGUUUAUUUGUUUAAUAUUUGUUGAGUUUUUAAGCAUAUAAGGACAAUAUUACUAUAAUUACUUAUUUGGGUCCUAUACAAAGGCAGUAAUGACUUGUGAAGUGUGUUUUCGUAACCGUGUAAAAUGAGUGGUGGUAACAUUUGUAGCAUAGCUAUAUGUAAAAGCAACUCCAAAAUUCCUGAACCAGAUGGAAACAAAAUAAUAAUGUUUUUGGACAUUUCCCAAAUACCUUAACAUUAUCAAACAAUAAUGGAUAAUAAAAUGUUACAAGAUAAAUGGGCCUCUAAACAUAAGAAAAUAGGUAGCAAACAUUUCCUCGUGUCUGAAUAUGUUAAUAUUAUGUUACGUCUUUUUUAUAUUCUAACCUAAUAAUAAAUUAUUUAUAUUA